This 244-nucleotide unclassified non-coding RNA is filed under the name Ascomycota sp. RNAcentral describes it as "partial contains small subunit ribosomal RNA, internal transcribed spacer 1, and 5.8S ribosomal RNA". The stretch from base 1 to 47 matches the Rfam family "Eukaryotic small subunit ribosomal RNA", at positions 1785 to 1831 of the family's 1831-position model. Lineage: Eukaryota; Fungi; Ascomycota. The record is from RNAcentral.
AAAGUCGUAACAAGGUCUCCGUAGGUGAACCUGCGGAGGGAUCAUUACAGAGUUCGCGCCCUCGCGGGUAGAUCUCCCACCCUGUGUUAUACAACCGCUUGUUGCUUUGGCGGGCCGCUGGGCUCGACCCGGCCACCGGCUCCGGCUGGUGCGCGCCCGCCAGAGGCCCCCUAACUCUUGAUGUGAGUGAUGUCCGAGUACUAUACAAUAGUUAAAACUUUCAACAACGGAUCUCUUGGUUCUG